Molecule: non-coding RNA, 2393 nt
Organism: Tetranychus urticae (two-spotted spider mite)
Lineage: Eukaryota; Metazoa; Arthropoda; Arachnida; Trombidiformes; Tetranychidae
Source: RefSeq, a predicted model, not a curated record
UUGAAAUAGCGAUACUUGAUGAAUUAAGCUUCUUUCAACAAGUAAUUUAAACUGAUUAAAGUAAUAAUUGUUGCAUCUUUCGAUAUUCUCAUUCUUUUAGGUGCAUCAAAAGCGUUACCUACGCCAUAUGGACAUAAGAGUGGAUUAUAGUCUCUCGCUGAAAUGUGAUAACUCAACUGGAUGAUGGAUUGCAAUGUUAAUCUUUUUUCAUGUUUAGAUAUUUUUCUCAUGUAAGAUAGUUUUCGAUGUUAUUUUAUUUGGUGUUAAUGCUCUUCUAAAAAGAACUAUACAGAUCAAAAGAGUAAACCUUUUGUUGAAGUUGAUUCAAUACUUGGUUGAUGCAAAGUCUAUGACUUACGCAUUAAUACAAAGUCAUAGGCAUUACAUUUAUAGUCAAAUACAUUAUUAAUAAACAGACAUCAAUGAAUAAACUGAUUUGUGAGCCAUUUAUGCAAUCAUUUGGAUUCAAUUUUCAUUUGCAAUGGAACCUGAGAAAGAAACUGAUGUUCCUGCUCUUGCACCAUAUUCAUCAUUUCUUUACCUUUUCAUACUGAUGAUAAUGCAUCAUUGAAGCUCUCAUUUUUCCUUUCAUCACUCCUACAAUCACUUUUUCUUGCUCCUAUUCAAAAAGUAUUACUCACUUGAGAAAUCCUAUUUUGUCUAUCCUUUGCUACUUCUUUCCCUGUGAUUCUGUUUUAGGUACCACAUGAAAGAAAAGACAGAAAAGAAACAAACAAAGGCAAACAAAAAAGUCAAGAGAGAAUUAAAGAAACCACUUAGCUAUUGAUUUAAUUCACUUGAGCAACUUUCAAUGGACCAGUUCGAUCAUCAUUUUCAUUGUUGUCGUUGGCAACGUAACCACUGCCAUACCUCGACUACUCAUUAAAGGCCCAUUCCAGAGUUGAACCAUGAUUUACAUCGAGCCUGUUAUUGACCAAUUUUCAGAUGAAGAGUUCAAAUGAUCUGAAAGAAGCAGGAUUGUCAAAAGCCAAUAACAAGAGGAUUGUAAAGCCUCAAGUUCGUCGAUUUCACUCUCUAUUGCCACUAAAUGAUGUUAUACAUUUGGUUGAAAAGCAUCUUUCGGGUGGCCUUACAAUAGAAAGUGGUGUUACAAUGAAGAGUAAAUGGGAUUCCUAUGGAGAAACAACAAGCAAACAAAAUGAAGGGAAAGCAAAAAAUGAAAAGAGGAGCAAUAUUAUGAUGGAUUAUCUUCUUCAAGAUUCCUUUUGACUCUUCUUUUUGUGUUUGAAUCAAUUUAACAACACAAUACUACACUCAUAAGAUCAUUAAACUAUCAACAACAACACCGGCAACACCAUCAACAUCACCACCAUCAGGAUCAACAGAGAAACCUCAACACAAAGAGAAAAAUAAACAGAAAGGAAAAGUAUAAUUCAUCCCUUUUUUCAGUGAUGUGGUGUUUUGUGUGUAUAAAAAAAGCUGAACAAUACAAACAUUGAAUAAUAGCAUCUUCUUGAAAAAUAUUUUCACACAAACUGCUAUUCAUAAAUUGAACUUGAUAUCUACACAUAAACACACAUACACACAAAUAUCCACAUGAUUAACCUUUCUUUAACUUUUAUUAAUGAAAUCAGAUUCCUUUAUUCAUCCAACAUUAACAUUUAAAAAAUUUACUUUUAAUUAUCUUUGUAACCUUUCAUUGACAACAAAACAUUUUUUACACCAACACACAAAACUAUUUCAUUGUAUUUCACCUUUUCCAUACAAUGUAAUGGUAAUGUAAUAUUUUUAUACCAAAUAUUAAUUUGAUUUUUUUUCUUCUUCUUUUUUCUUCUUUCCUCUUCUUUCAUAAUUUCAAUUCAGAUGACAAUUGAUUGGAUCAACUCAAGGAGAUGAUGAUUAUGAUGAUAUUAUUAUGAAUAAAAGCCUGAACCAUUUGAGUUAUGCCUUAAGGAUAAACAUUUUUCUUUCCCUAACCUGAUUUGUUGGUGAAAUUGCAACAAACACUCGAUAAAGAUAAAUUACGUGAUUUAGCAAGCUGAGCAUUUCAUGUUUCAUCUUGUUUUACCAGAUUAAUUGUGAUCACAUUUAUUCAAUCAUCAAUUUUUCAUUGCAUUUUCCCUUUCCCUGUCCUUGAAUAAAUUUCAAGCUGAUGAAUGAUGAUAAGGAAAUGAAUGGCCACAAGCAAAGGAUCUUGAAAAAAAGCCAAAACUCAAUUGACUUUCCAUGAGACUGACAAAAAAGAGGAAAAAAAACGUUCAACAGAUUAAAUGUUCAAUGAAUUUACAUAUUAAUGGUUGAAAUGAAAUGAUAAUACCCAGCAAGAUGAUGUUCAAUUGUACGUUUAAUUAAAAGCGCAAAAUUUGACAUUUAUACAUCUUUAUAAUGGCUGGAUGUUUCAGUAAACAUUAAAACACAAUUUUGUUCCCAUA